GACGAGGGGUGCAAACGUUAUUCGGAAUGAUUGGGCGUAAAGGGUGCGCAGGCGGUAUGCUAAGUCAACUGUUAAAUUCCUCAGCCUAACUGAGGGUCAGCGGUAGAUACUGGUAUGCUUGAGAGUGGUAGAGAGAAGUGGAAUUCUCGGAGUAGCGGUAAAAUGCGUAGAUCUCGAGAGGAACACCGAUGGCGAAGGCAGCUUCUUAGGCCAUUUCUGACGCUCAUGCACGAAAGCGCGGGGAGCAAACAGG
This 253-nucleotide ribosomal RNA is filed under the name uncultured bacterium. RNAcentral describes it as "partial 16S ribosomal RNA". It matches the Rfam family "Bacterial small subunit ribosomal RNA", at positions 524 to 776 of the family's 1533-position model. The record is from RNAcentral.